UAAACAAGCUGGUUGUGCUGACCAUUCGUGGUAUGUGCACACUUGCCAAUGUUUCAUUCCAUUCUCCACCUGUGCACUCUGUGUAGUCUGUUGCAUUGCUGUUGUCAGAUUUAUAUCAAGUCUGGUUAAGGGAAGUUGCCUGUUUCACAACAGGCUCUUCUGGGGCAUGCAUAGGUCUACGUUUAUUAUCAACACUAUAUGAAUGUUAUAGAAUGUAUCUGGGCCUUAUGUGCCUUUAAAUCAUAAUACAACUUUCAACAACRGAUCUCUUGGCUCUCGCAUCGAUGAAGAACGCAGCGAAAUGCGAUAAGUAAUGUGAAUUGCAGAAUUCAGUGAAUCAUCGAAUCUUUGAACGCACCUUGCACUCCUUGGCAUUCCGAGGAGCAUGCCUGUUUGAGUGUCAUUAAAUUCUCAAUCCCAUGCAAUCUUGUGUUGCGUGGCGAUUGGAUUUUGGGGGCUUGCUGGCUUGUUCAGCUCUCCUUAAAAGUAUUAGCAGGGCAAURAUGCCAUCUGUGCUUUGUAUGAUAUGUAUCUAUACAUUGUGCAGGUUGGGUACAUCUGCUUCAAACUGUCAUUCAUGACAUUUGACUAAUUUGACCUCAAAUCAGGUAGGACUACCCGCUGAACUUAAGCAUA
Molecule: ribosomal RNA, 636 nt
Filed under: Pluteus oreibatus
Lineage: Eukaryota; Fungi; Basidiomycota; Agaricomycetes; Agaricales; Pluteaceae
Description: eukaryotic LSU rRNA
Rfam family: 5.8S ribosomal RNA (bases 250-403)
Source: RNAcentral